RNAcentral lists this ribosomal RNA (238 nucleotides) under uncultured bacterium. Its description in RNAcentral is "partial 16S ribosomal RNA". The record is from RNAcentral.
CUGCUGCCUCCCGUAGGAGUCUGGGCCGUAUCUCAGUCCCAAUGUGGCCGUUCAUCCUCUCAGACCGGCUACUGAUCGUAGCCUUGGUGGGCCGUUACCCCACCAACUAGCUAAUCAGACAUGAGCCCAUCCUUCAGCGAUAAAUCUUUGAUAUCCAGGAGAUGCCUCCCGGAUAUGUUAUGCGGUAUUAGCAGUCGUUUCCAACUGUUGUCCCCCUCUGAAGGGCAGGUUGCUCAUG